UGGAUCACCCCCUGCAUGAGCCCGCGGCGGAUCAGCUAGUUGUUACCGAGAUGUCCCACCAAGGCGACGACGAGUAGCCGGCCUGAGAGGGUGACCGGCCACACUGGGCCUGAGACCCGGCCCAGACUCCUACGGGAGGCAGCAGUGGGGAAUAUUGCACAAUGGGAAAAAGCCUCGGCAGGACACCGCGCAUCAUGACGGCCUUUGAGGGACUUGGUCCCACAUAAGGGAAAGCCAGUAUUCCUUGGGGCUAAACCGGCCUAGCCCUUUUUAUA
RNAcentral lists this ribosomal RNA (275 nucleotides) under uncultured actinomycete. RNAcentral describes it as "partial 16S rRNA". The stretch from base 1 to 189 matches the Rfam family "Bacterial small subunit ribosomal RNA", at positions 210 to 400 of the family's 1533-position model. The record is from RNAcentral. Lineage: Bacteria; Bacillati; Actinomycetota; Actinomycetes; Actinomycetales.